AGAAGCUGGAACAUCACUGCUGUGAAGGGCUGCUGUGAGAAAACCACCCUGAAGGAAUGCACAAAGCACCCAAGGAAGAAAAUGAGGGCAGCAGAACACCCUCUGCAUUGGUUUUGUGUGUGCAGAAAAAAUCUGAAGGCCUGAACAGGUACUGAGAAGUGAUAGGUCUGAUAUUCAGCAACUGCUCAAGAGCAAGGCAAUCCCCUGCAAGUGUCUGAGGACAAGAACAAAGAAUUACCUCCUUGCCAUGUCCCAGUGGUGAGGACAUGAAGAAGGGGUCAUUGGGACAACCUUUGAUGCCCCCAGUAGACAAGGCAGGAAUCCCUCCUGUAAGGGUCUCUGCAAAGCUCUCCCCAGCUGGAUUUGUAGGAAUCCUGGGAGAUGAGGAGCACUCACUUGAACACGGUGGCGAAAGCCGCGACCCUCCAGCUCCAGCGCCAGCCGUAGCGGAUGAAGCUGCGCAGACCCGCGCGGUGUGCCGAUUGCUGAGGGGACAGAGAGGACAUGUCACAGCUCACAGCCCCCUGCCAGCACCCGGCAGGCCAGGGCAGGGCACUGAUGGUGCCCCAACUCUGAGCGAGUCAGCCACCUUUGGAGGAAAAGCUGCUCCCAGCCACCAACGGGAAAACUGAGAAUCGAUUCCAGUCUGGAACGCCAACUGGUAUUUCUAAUCCUGGACGCUCUGGGAGGGCUCUUUGAGGAAAGCAGCAGAGGAGAAUGGAGGAAAACCAGAAACUACUUCAUUAUUAUGGGUAUUCAUAAGUAUUAAUAAAUAAUAACCAUCAAUAAAUAAUAGCAAGUGAAUAAUAACCAUCUGCAUUAAAUGUUAAGAUACCAUUAAGCUCUGCUAUUUAACACUGGCACUUAAAAGUUUGAAAAGAGGUUUUUUUACAAUAACUGAUUAAUCCAAGCUUCACAAAAAUUUAAAAUGUGCAGUUAAUGCCAUGAAAGUAAAUAAAUUUUCUCUUCCAGUUGUGGUGUAGG
Long non-coding RNA from Zonotrichia leucophrys gambelii, 984 nucleotides. RefSeq lists it as uncharacterized. Lineage: Eukaryota; Metazoa; Chordata; Aves; Passeriformes; Passerellidae. The record is from RefSeq and is a predicted model, not a curated record. The transcript has 4 exons.